Molecule: long non-coding RNA, 1024 nt
Organism: Pistacia vera
Lineage: Eukaryota; Viridiplantae; Streptophyta; Magnoliopsida; Sapindales; Anacardiaceae
Exons: 3
Source: RefSeq, a predicted model, not a curated record
AAAAAGAGAAAGAGAAAAAGGGAAAGGAGAAAGGAGAAGGAAGAAAAGGGGAAGAAGGGCGGUUUUGACCCCAUUUUCGUUAGGGAAUCGAUUUUUUGGGCGUGCAUUAUCCGUGGGAGGAGGACAACCAAGCUUUUUGAGGGUUUUCGUUAUUUGGGACAAGCUUCAGGGGAGUGAGUGGAAAAUCCAAAACCCUAACUUUUAUUUUUAGCAAAAAAAUAAAUAAAUAAUUUACUCUAGUAUAAUAAAUGUUUUAUUUUUCUUAAAUCCUUUGAUUUUUGUUAUGGAAAUGUGUUUAAUACAAAAUUAUCAUUUAGAUUUGACAAUGAUUGGAUUUCGAUAUGUCUUGAGCAAGAAUUAUUGAUAAUACAAAAAUUUGGCUAAAUUGUUAUUAAAACUUGUAUUUUUAGCCUCAUAUUGUAUUAUUGUGAUUUAAUAUAAUGUUAUAUGUUUCUCUGUAAAUGAAGGCAUGAGAUUUAUGAAAAAUUGUGAGUUGAAAGCAUGUAUAUUGAUAAUAGUAGUUUCAAACCACCAUAUAUAGUAUCCAUCCCCCUCAUGAUAUUGAUUUGAUCCUACAUAUGCGUAUAGUUGUUAUUUGUCGGCCUAAGUGGGUCAAAGGCCUGAGCAAGACAGAUAUCAUUACAUUAGAUUGAUUUUGUCGCCCAAGUGGGUCGAAGGCCAGAGCAAGGCAGAUAUCGCUACAUUAGAUUGUUUUUGCCAGUCCAAGGGGGUUGAAGGCCUAAGUGAGGCAGAUAUUGCUAGACAUGAUAUGUGGUACCGACUCGAGUGAUGCAUGGUCUCGUUGGGUCGAAGGCUUGAGUGGUGACUGAUUCUGCCUAGCAGGAUAAAUUUUGCAUUCAAUCUGCACGAUGUUAGACCUUGCCGGGUUGGAUGGGUUCAUAUCUAGGUACUAGUUAUGGUCAAGAAGAGGAUCGUGUAGAAGAGUGAUAUUCGCUCGAGGUUGAGCCACACGACUUCAUUUUGUUAAAUGUGUAACUGAUGGAUUUUACUUUUGUAUCACAUA